GAUGAACGCUGGCGGCGUGCCUAAUACGUGCAAGUCGAGCGAACGGACGAGAAGCUUGCUUCUCUGAUGUUAGCGGCGGACGGGUGAAUAACACGUGGAUAACCUACCUAUAAGACUGGGAUAACUUCGGGAAACCGGAGCUAAUACCGGAUAAUAUUUUGAACUGCAUGGUUCAAAAGUGAAAGACGGUCUUGCUGUCACUUAUAGAUGGAUCCGCGCUGCCUUAGCUAGUUGGUAAGGUAACGGCUUACCAAGGCAACGAUGCAUAGCCGACCUGAGAGGGUGAUCGGCCACACUGGAACUGAGACACGGUCCAGACUCCUACGGGAGGCAGCAGUAGGGAAUCUUCCGCAAUGGGCGAAAGCCUGACGGAGCAACGCCGCGUGAGUGAUGAAGGUCUUCGGAUCGUAAAACUCUGUUAUUAGGGAAGAACAUAUGUGUAAGUAACUGUGCACAUCUUGACGGUACCUAAUCAGAAAGCCACGGCUAACUACGUGCCAGCAGCCGCGGUAAUACGUAGGUGGCAAGCGUUAUCCGGAAUUAUUGGGCGUAAAGCGCGCGUAGGCGGUUUUUUUAAGUCUGAUGUGAAAGCCCACGGCUCAACCGUGGAGGGUCAUUGGAAACUGGAAAACUUGAGUGCAGAAGAGGAAAGUGGAAUUCCAUGUGUAGCGGUGAAAUGCGCAGAGAUAUGGAGGAACACCAGUGGCGAAGGCGACUUUCUGGUCUGUAACUGACGCUGAUGUGCGAAAGCGUGGGGAUCAAACAGGAUUAGAUACCCUGGUAGUCCACGCCGUAAACGAUGAGUGCUAAGUGUUAGGGGGUUUCCGCCCCUUAGUGCUGCAGCUAACGCAUUAAGCACUCCGCCUGGGGAGUACGACCGCAAGGUUGAAACUCAAAGGAAUUGACGGGGACCCGCACAAGCGGUGGAGCAUGUGGUUUAAUUCGAAGCAACGCGAAGAACCUUACCAAAUCUUGACAUCCUUUGACAACUCUAGAGAUAGAGCUUUCCCCUUCGGGGGACAAAGUGACAGGUGGUGCAUGGUUGUCGUCAGCUCGUGUCGUGAGAUGUUGGGUUAAGUCCCGCAACGAGCGCAACCCUUAAGCUUAGUUGCCAUCAUUAAGUUGGGCACUCUAAGUUGACUGCCGGUGACAAACCGGAGGAAGGUGGGGAUGACGUCAAAUCAUCAUGCCCCUUAUGAUUUGGGCUACACACGUGCUACAAUGGACAAUACAAAGGGCAGCGAAACCGCGAGGUCAAGCAAAUCCCAUAAAGUUGUUCUCAGUUCGGAUUGUAGUCUGCAACUCGACUACAUGAAGCUGGAAUCGCUAGUAAUCGUAGAUCAGCAUGCUACGGUGAAUACGUUCCCGGGUCU
Molecule: ribosomal RNA, 1373 nt
Filed under: uncultured bacterium
Lineage: Bacteria
Description: bacterial SSU rRNA
Rfam family: Bacterial small subunit ribosomal RNA
Source: RNAcentral